AUUUGCCAUUUGCUACAGACGUGCUAAAUAGCAGCUCUCGUGGUAAAGAGAACGCUUCUGACCCGGGCCUGAUGAUUGCUUUUGUCACAAGAAGUGCAAGUUACUGUGUCCAACUGCUGAAUUUUAUUUGUAACUUAUCAGACGCACUUAUUUUCCCCAGUGCCAGCGCCAAGGAAGCAUAACUUUCAAAUAAUAACUCCAGCAAGAGAGAGACAUGCAGUAAGCAUGGUGAAACAAGCACCUCAGUUUAAAUCCCCCAAAUCCUUCACUAUGGCCAGUGCCAGAGAGCCUUUCUAUAGGAAUACAAUGUGAGCAGCUUCAGUGGGGCAUAUCUGCCGACCAGCCUGGGGUUAGAGCUGAGCACUACCUGAGUGAGUGGCAAGUUGACUGUAACAAGAGAUUCAAUAUCAGCCACUAUCAAUGAGAGUUGUAACUCAGGUGGUGAUUCUGGAACUGUGUCACUCUUCUAGUCUUCCAUUUUGGAAUGAAUGCAAGGUCUACCUCGUUUUUCAUACAAGGAAUUCUGCUGAAUUCAACUCUUCCCAAUGCCAGAGACCCCAAUUUAAAGCUGUGACUCACUGGCAGCACUUUAAGCCGCUACUGGAAAUUCUUAUAGAGUGAGGAAGAUAUUCAACUGACAAAGGCAUUUUCAGUCAUCAUAUUUUGUGGGUCCAGGCUUUCAAGUGUGAAGGUGAAAAUUUUGGAUAUGUGGAAGAAUAUCAGCUGGAUAAAAAUAAUACGCUGGUCUACAUCGCAGUUUGCAGGCCCUGGCAAGACUGGACCUGUCGUCCAGAUGGUUUACCUCAUGGUCAGGAAGAAGAGUCAUGCUGGCCCUCAGAUGAUUUAA
This 847-nucleotide long non-coding RNA is filed under the name Homo sapiens (human). RNAcentral describes it as "non-protein coding lnc-SOCS6-11:1". Lineage: Eukaryota; Metazoa; Chordata; Mammalia; Primates; Hominidae. The record is from RNAcentral.